Molecule: long non-coding RNA, 371 nt
Organism: Homo sapiens (human)
Lineage: Eukaryota; Metazoa; Chordata; Mammalia; Primates; Hominidae
Source: Ensembl
AGCACCGGGAAGCAGGGGCCGAGCCUUCCCCGCUCUGUGCCUGGGGGCUCUGGGCACUGUCUACACCUGGGAGGUGGUCAGCAUAUGUGCGUGGGAACUUGCUGGAAGGAAGGAAUGACCCUUCUAGCCAUGGAACGGUGGUCAUCCGUGAGCCACGGCCUCAGGAGGUGCCUUCCUAAUGUGCAGGUGACGAUUGCCUCUGAGCUCAGGCAUGCAGCUUCUGGGAUGCACUCUCCUUUCACGGCAAAGCAUUCUGCAUAGGAAAAACCGUCUCUGCGUCUCCAAGCUGUGGCCUAGCCCUUCAUUCAUCAAAUGGGAUACAACUUUCAUUUCUUAUUAAAAUCUGGAAGUCACUCUCCAUUUGUAAGAUA